RNAcentral lists this ribosomal RNA (253 nucleotides) under uncultured bacterium. RNAcentral describes it as "partial 16S ribosomal RNA". It matches the Rfam family "Bacterial small subunit ribosomal RNA", at positions 524 to 776 of the family's 1533-position model. The record is from RNAcentral.
UACGGGGGGGGCAAGCGUUGUUCGGAAUUACUGGGCGUAAAGGGCUCGUAGGCGGCCAACUAAGUCAGACGUGAAAUCCCUCGGCUUAACCGGGGAACUGCAUCUGAUACUGGAUGGCUUGAGUUCGGGAGAGGGAUGCGGAAUUCCAGGUGUAGCGGUGAAAUGCGUAGAUAUCUGGAGGAAUACCGGUGGCGAAGGCGGCAUCCUGGACCGACAUUGACGCUGAACGGCGAAAGCUAGGGGAGCAAACGGG